CACGUGGGGCCCUCAGCUUUGGGGCAAUAGGGGCAGGGCCUCUUGGGGAGUGGCAAACGGCAGAACGUGUCCCCUGCCCCGCCACGGCUCCAUUCCGCCGCCGCUCGGCUCACAGCCUCCCGCGGACUUCAUCUGUGGUCAGAGUCCGGAGCAGGGGAGGGCGGCCGCAACUUCCCCAGUCUACCUUAAGAGCACCGCGUAGCCAGCUCAGCCAGCUCGCAAAGCCGACCUUAGAAAAACAAGUUUGCGCAAAGUGGAGGGGCCCGGCCUCUGGGCAGCCCCUCGCUGCGCCUCCCCAGCCUUCCAGCCCGGCGGGUGGUGCAGCCGCGGCCCAUGGAGCCCGCCGGCCCGGCCCCUGGCCGCCUCGGGCCACUGCUCUGCCUGCUGCUCGCCGUGUCCUGCGCCUUGUCAGGGGCAGCAGAGGAGGAGCUACAGGUGACUCAGCCUGACAAGUCCGUGUCUGUGGCAGCUGGAGACUCGGUGACCCUGCACUGCAGCGUAAACACCCUGCUGCCCGUUGGACCCAUAUACUGGUUCAGAGGGGCUGGGCCAGACCGGAAGAUGAUCUAUGACUUCAAGGGAGGCCAGUACCCCCGAGUCACAAACCUCUCAGAUGCCACAAAGCGACAGAACAUGGACUUUUCCAUCCGCAUCAGUGACAUCACCACAGCAGACACCGGCACCUACUACUGCGUAAAGUUCCGGAGAGAGGGUGUAGGAGACGUGGAGUUUAAGUCUGGACCAGGCACACAGGUAUCUGUUCAAGCCAAACCUUCCCAACCUGAGGUGUUGGGCCCCACAGUGAGGGCAGCCACCAAGCAGACUGUGAACUUCACCUGUAAGUCCCAUGGCUUCUCCCCCCGCAACAUCAGCCUGAGAUGGUUCAAGAACGGGAAUGAGCUCUCUGCCUUCCAGACCAGCGUGGAGCCCGCAGGAGAGAGUGUUUCCUACAAUGUCUCCAGCACCGCCCAGGUGGUCCUGUCCUCUGGGGACGUAUAUUCACAGGUCAUCUGUGAGGUGGCCCACGUCACACUUCAGGAGGGCCCUCCUCUUCGUGGGACUUUCAACUUGUCUGACACCAUCCGAGUUCCCCCCAGUGUGGAGGUCACACAGCAGCCCGUGGGGACAGGGGCCCAGGUGAACGUCACCUGCCACGUGGACAAGUUCUACCCCCAGCGUGUGCAGCUGACCUGGCUGGAGAAUGGAAACGUGUCCCACACAGAGAUGGCCUGGACGUUAGUGAAGAACAAGGACGGGACCUACAACCGCACAAGCUGGAUCCUGGUGAACAACUCUGCCCACAGGGAGGACCUGGUGCUCUCCUGCCAGGUGGAACAUGAUGGGCAGCCAGCGGUCACCAAAAGCCACACCCUGCAGGUUUCAGCUCAGCCCAAGGAGCCCGACUCAAACCCCAAUACCAGCGAUGGCCAAAAUGACAGUUGGAGCAUCUUCAUUGUGGUGGGUGUCGUGUGCGCCUUGCUGGUGGUCCUGCUGAUGGCGGCCCUCUACCUCCUCCGGAUCAAACAGAAGAAAGCCAAGGGCUCCACUUCUUCUACAAGGUUGCAUGAGCCCGAGAAGAUCGCCAGAGAAAUAACCCAGAUCCAGGACACCAACGACAUCAAUGACAUCACCUAUGCAGACCUCAACCUGCCCAAGGGGAAGAAGACAGCUCCGCGGGCCGCCGAGCCCAACAACCAUACAGAAUAUGCCAGCAUUCAGACCGGCCCUCCGGUCACCUCGGAGGACACCCUCACUUAUGCCGACCUGGACAUGGUGCACCUCAACCGCACCCCAAAGCCGCCGGCCCCCAAGCCGGAGCCGUCCUUCUCUGAGUACGCCAGCGUCCAGGUGCAGAGGAAGUGAAUGGGACUUCCGGCUGCUCUUGGUCCUGUCCCCAAGAGCUUUCCUGUCCCGCAUGGAGCAGCCAUGUUGCGGACAGCCAGCCCAGGUUCCCGGAGGGCCGGGCGGUGGGGCUCUUCUGUCCUCAGCCCUUGUCUCUGCAGGGCAGCCAUGGGCCCCCAUUCUUGCCACAUACCGGAAACUGGAGUUGCUGAACUAGUCAAUGAGAUGGACCAGAGCUGGAGUUCUCCGUGCCUCUGUCCUCCAGAGCGUGGGGGCGGGAUGAGGGGAAGAAGACCAAGCAAGACAGAAAGCUUUCGCCUCCGCCCGACAGCCUGGGAGAGUCCCAGCACCUUGUGUAUGGAAGCCCAGGAAGAGGAAGAGGUUAAAGGAACACUGCGGAAGGAGCGUGGUUUGGGGAGUUUAUUUUAAGACCGCUGGGAAGGAAACAGGCCCCGUUUUGUAUAUAGUUGCAACUUAAACUUUUUGGCUUGCAAAAUAUUUUUGUAAUAAAGAUUUCUGGGUAACAGGGA
Molecule: RNA transcript, 2372 nt
Organism: Ochotona princeps (American pika)
Lineage: Eukaryota; Metazoa; Chordata; Mammalia; Lagomorpha; Ochotonidae
Gene name: tyrosine-protein phosphatase non-receptor type substrate 1
Exons: 10
Source: RefSeq, a predicted model, not a curated record